AGAUUGAACGCUGGCGGCGUGCUUAACACAUGCAAGUCGAGCGGUAACGCGGGAGCAAUCCUGGCGACGAGCGGCGAACGGGUGAGUAAUGCUUGGGAAUCUGCCCAUUAGUGGGGAACAACCAGCCGAAAGGUUGGCUAAUACCGCAUACGCCCUACGGGGGAAAGCGGGGGCUCGUAAGACCUCGCGCUAAUGGAUGAGCCCAAGUCGGAUUAGCUUGUUGGUAGGGUAACGGCCUACCAAGGCGACAAUCCGUAGCUGGUCUGAGAGGACGACCAGCCACGCUGGGACUGAGACACGGCCCAGACUCCUACGGGAGGCAGCAGUGGGGAAUAUUGGACAAUGGGCGCAAGCCUGAUCCAGCCAUGCCGCGUGGAUGAUGAAGGCCCUAGGGUUGUAAAGUCCUUUUAACGGGGAGAUAAUGACGGUACCGUAGAAUAAGCCCGGCUAACUUCGUGCCAGCAGCCGC
RNAcentral lists this ribosomal RNA (469 nucleotides) under uncultured bacterium. RNAcentral's name for it is "SSU rRNA". It matches the Rfam family "Bacterial small subunit ribosomal RNA", at positions 26 to 518 of the family's 1533-position model. The record is from RNAcentral.